GUUUUGUUUACGGCUAGGGAAAAAUAAAAAAUCGAACAGUCGAAGUUCAGGACUCUUCAUUGCUUCCUGCUCUUUUAAAUUCUGCUAUAGUGGUUGGCUAAUAGAUCAUUGGCUGCUGUGCCUUGUAAUGAUGAACUAUGAAGGUCACUGGAAACCAUAGUUUGCCAUUAAUCAUCAACGUUUUCCAUUAGAUACCAAGUUAGAUACAGAACAGCCGUCACCCACCGCUGAUAAAGGCGUAUCUCCACGGAAGUUCUAGAGCAUGGUUAAUUGGAAAGGAUGCCGAAAUACAGCGGCCGCAAUAAGCGCCGCCAUAUACGAACAUCACUACUUUUCACCAGCAGCAACACUUAUGCUACGUUUUGACAGGGCCAGUGAAUUGAACAACUCAGUUGAAUUCAAUUGACUUGCCAAAAGUUGAACAUGUUCAACUUUCUUUUCGUUCAAGUGAAUUGAAUUAAGGUGUUUACACGUUCAGUUCGCGUUAGAUUCGAUCGACUUGCUCAAUUCACUUGCCUUGUCUAAACGUAGCAUUACGGCAUACCCAAUGAGCGCUCAACAACAGAAUAAAAUAUCUAAAUCUAAAAUUCAAAUAAAAUUUCCAAUCAAAGUAAUAAAAUAAAUCGUGAAACAAUUAA
This is a long non-coding RNA of Armigeres subalbatus, 638 nucleotides long. RefSeq lists it as uncharacterized. Lineage: Eukaryota; Metazoa; Arthropoda; Insecta; Diptera; Culicidae. The transcript is spliced from 3 exons. The record is from RefSeq and is a predicted model, not a curated record.